UGGGGAAUAUUGGACAAUGGGCGCAAGCCUGAUCCAGCCAUGCCGCGUGAGUGAUGAAGGCCUUAGGGUUGUAAAGCUCUUUUAGCAGGGAAGAUAAUGACGGUACCUGCAGAAAAAGCCCCGGCUAACUUCGUGCCAGCAGCCGCGGUAAUACGAAGGGGGCUAGCGUUGCUCGGAAUUACUGGGCGUAAAGCGCACGUAGGCGGACUCUUAAGUCGGUGGUGAAAUCCUGGAGCUCAACUCCAGAACUGCCUUCGAUACUGGGAGUCUUGAGUUCGGGAGAGGUGAGUGGAACUGCGAGUGUAGAGGUGAAAUUCGUAGAUAUUCGCAAGAACACCAGUGGCGAAGGCGGCUCACUGGCCCGAUACUGACGCUGAGGUGCGAAAGCGUGGGGAGCAAACAGG
RNAcentral lists this ribosomal RNA (404 nucleotides) under Bacillota bacterium. Its description in RNAcentral is "Firmicutes bacterium partial 16S ribosomal RNA". It matches the Rfam family "Bacterial small subunit ribosomal RNA", at positions 355 to 776 of the family's 1533-position model. Lineage: Bacteria; Bacillati; Bacillota. The record is from RNAcentral. RNAcentral also lists the same sequence under 1 other name.